This is a long non-coding RNA of Oncorhynchus keta (chum salmon), 1679 nucleotides long. RefSeq lists it as uncharacterized. The record is from RefSeq and is a predicted model, not a curated record. Lineage: Eukaryota; Metazoa; Chordata; Actinopteri; Salmoniformes; Salmonidae. The transcript is spliced from 7 exons.
CUCAAGCUUCCUACACUAACUUUUUGUCUGAAAAUAAAAUCUACAUUUUCGUCAACUGCGUCCAGUCAGCAGAUGGACGAGAUGCCGUUUAGGCCGCCAGUUGUGACUCCUUCAAGAAUUCAGCAGAGCAAGUUUGUAUGAAAGUCUGGUUAUUAAAUGGGUACAUAGUUCAAUAGUAAUAUCCUCUAAAACCCUCUGGUCAUGAACUUUGCUGCCCUGUUUCCAGUUGUCCACAUUUCAGGGAGAACCUAUUCAAGUAGCUCGCUAACAGCCAUGGAGGAGGGUGAAAGGAUAGCAGCCCCAACUGUCAGUGAGAUAGGAGGCUAUUCUGGAAAGGGCAGAUAAAGAGCACCAUGAAAGCCUGUCUACAUAUGAAGAGGUCCCAAUGAAGAUCAGUGGUUCUCAGUCCUGGGGACUCAGAGGCACAUUGUUGUUUUUGUCUCAGCACUGCACAGCUGAUUCAAAUGAUCAACUCAUCAUCAAGCUUCAAGUGAUACCUUGUAACUGGAGAUUCCUUCAAAACUAUUGCCUACAGUUACCGUGUAGGCCACUGCAAGGUUGGGUGACCAUGGUCAUCUGGGACUGCCUCCUGGAGGAAUUCAGGCAUAAAGUACUCUGCAGCCACUUAGUGUGGUGUGGACACCAGGUUAUAUCAGCUGUGUCGGUGAACCCCUCCUGCAUCUGAACUGGCUACAUAGUGGGCACAGCAUGAUCUGAGGUGAGAGGUCACUUGGUCAGGUCAACAGGAAGUAUUAUUAAAGAGAUGCUUUACAUUAAAAUACAGAUAGAGAUGCAGUUGUCCCAGAGUUAAUGAUCCCAGGUCAGUUUAUAUUAUUCAGGAUGUAUUAUUAAAGAGAUGCUUUACAUUGAAAUACAGAUUGUAACGAUCUGAGUGUAGUGGGUGAGGAGUCAGGCGCAGGAAGCAGAGAGUUCAGGUGAGUGCUAUUUUAAUGCACAGACAAACGGCGAACAUAAGCCAACCCUCACGAACACACAGGGCGUAAUGAACAAACAAAUGCCCCAAACAGGGGGACUUACACUGUCCAUGGAAAAGCCACAAAAUGGGAAAACACAAAAACCCAUAGACGUGCACACAAGUACACUAAACAGACGGUCACAAUAAUUAAUCCCGCACAAGGAACCCUGCGAGCCGGCUGACUAAUAAAGCCUUACUAUCUAACUCAAAACAGGUGCACUCAAUCAACACAUAAGGAGGGGGAGGAAAUAAUCAGUAGCAGCUAGUAGGCCGGCGACGACGACCACCGAGCGCCACCCGAACGGGAAGGGGAGUGUCCUUCGGUCGGAGUCGUGACACAGAUAGAGAUGCAGUAGUCCCAGAGUUAGUGAUCCCAGAUAUGUUUUGAUGUGAGAGGAUGCCAACCCCCAGUCCCAUCAGCCACCUCACCUGCUUUUAAGAUAAUAGUGACUCAUCAGUCCAAAGGUUAUGUAAUUGUGAUGAACUGAGAGAAUAUUUAGGUAGCACUGUGAGAGACACAUUAAUCAUGUGCUGCCUUCCCUGCUCCUAUGUGCUUACCUCUUUCCCUUUCUGUCUUUUACACCUCUCUCUCCACCUCUUUCUUCCUCUGUUUUUAUAAUUCACAACAGAUGUGCAUUGAAGUACAUAUUGAACUUGUAUUUAUAACACUUGUAUAAAGAGCUUUUCAAUAAAGCUUUUCACA